ACCAAUAUUUCUGAAACUAGUGAUUUGACACUAGUGAAAAUUCAGUUACUGCUUGAGUGAUUUGACACUAUUGAAAAUUCAGUUACUGUCAAUUGAAUUUGACAGUAUAAUUCUACAGUACACAAGAUUCAGUGUAAAUCUUCAAAAUGAAUUGCUGUUAGUACACGAUCAAUUAACUAAUUUGGCAUUAUUACUCCCUAGAGAACGGAUUGUACAACACUGAAAAUUACUCUGAAUGUACUCCAAUUGACUGUAUAUUCACUGAAUGUACAACACCAAAAAUUACUCCAAUGACUGUAUAUUGACUGCAUAUAUUUCAUUGAUGUCAAAUUUUAUUUAUGUGUCAAGUGUGACAUCAACUUGUAAGAAGAAUAAGGAUGAGUCCAAGAUCAGGUGAUUGAGUGAGUGAUGUGGUUGCUGAGGUUCAGACAUGUUCAAUGAGAACAACUACUGUGGAGAUUAAAUUUAAUGAGAAUAAAUUCAAAUAAAUCCAAAUAAACCCAUCAUGUCAGGAUUCUUGAUCAAAGACCCACUUAGGAGUAGUUUGUCAUUGUUAAACACAAGUUUAAAAUGAAUAUGCUUCUUUUGCUGUGGUAAUCCAAAAUGCUUCUUUUGAGUACAGUAGCUGUAAAACUUAGUCUAUCUGGAGCUUGAGCUUGUGAGCUUCUUUAGCAAGAUCACAGUAAAUUAGGACUAUACAAACACUUUUACAGUUCUGAACACUUUUCACAAGAUGAAGCUCUUGAUCUUACAGUAAAACUGUUCUGAACACUUUUCACAAGAUGAAGCUCUUGAUCUUACAGUAAAACUGUUCUGAACACUUCUCACAAGAUGAAGCUUGGUUUUUCUUCGAUCUACACUUUUAAAGUUCAAGACACUCUUGUAAAUUAAAUAAAUCAAAUGGUGUAUAAAUGGUGUAUAAAUCCUCUUGGAAACUUUAGGUAUGUUUGCAAUUGGACAAAUGGUGUAUAAAUCCAAAUAAAUCAAAUAAAUUCAAAUAAUUCAAAUAAAUCCAAAUAAAUCCAAAUACGUCUAUCCUUUCUUUCCCUAUCCUUUCUCAUUGAACACAUGACACAAUACAUACACAUGACACAAGCCAUACACAUGACACAUCAAAUACUCCUAUCCUUUCUUUUCUUUUUCCCUUUCCCUUUCUUUUUGAGCUUUCUCUAUCUACUCAUUUCCUUGUUCUAUAAUGGCCAUCGUAUCAGUAAUUAGCUCAGGACUGCAGUAUACACCGGUUAUUUCUUCUCCCCCAUUUUGUAGACGGUCCUUGUGUAGAUGCGGCAGCUUAUAGUUGUUUCCUCCUUGAUCUUUCAUCACUUCCACCAUGACUGCUUGCAACGUCAUAAAGCUUUUGAACAGCUUAUGGGGAUCGUAGUUCUCAAACUCCUCCUCUACACCCUGUACCAGUUCCUGUAUAUUCAUAGGCGCUCUGUAGUCGGUUAGGGAUUGGAGGGAGCAGUGGAAACAAAGAUCCAGAACAUUGAGCUCAGGGCUGUUUGGUGGUUGUUGCAAUAAUCGAAUAUCCAGAUCUGUCUGUGCCACGGCUUCUAGAAAACCAGCAUCAUUAGGGAGGACAUGCGGUGUUGCAUUAUCUUGUUGAAUAAAGAUCGUUGUGUCCUCGGCAACGUCCGGCCAUUUGUCUUGAAUGGCAGGGAUUACUUUAUUGAUCAAGUAAUCUCUGCACACAGGUCUAGUAACUUUGACCGGCUUCAACUCUAUUGUCCCCCUAUCUCUGUUCUGGCUUGUUCGUUGUGCCUCGGUCUGUACCACAAACGGCCAAAUGCCAAGUUUCCCAUCAAAUAUCAUCUCCCCAUCUUCAUUGUAGCGAGGUUUGGCUACAGCUGUUAGAAACAUUACCUUCCCAAUGCUAUGAGCAUUGUGCACAGUUCGGUUUGGUUCUUCUUCUCCAGGCAGUACGUAGUAGCUACUCUUCACUCGGGUCAUGUCAUACCAUUUCUCGUCGAUGUGGACCAUAUUUGUCAUUGGCUUGAAACUGGGCCAAGGACUUGAUAUCCAUCUUUCAUCCAUCAUGGAUAGGCAGAACUUUAGUCUCGCUAUCUUGUUCUGUGGCUUGAGGGUGGGUUUGAUGGUGCUUGUGAUGCGUUUCAGCUCUUGCAAUUGAAAUCUGUCAUGUAGGGUUGAUCGGGGCACACCUAAACACCUUGCUAGAGACCGGAUUGUUCUUCUUUUGUUCAAGGGGAUUGUGGCUGUUCUCGACAGAUCUAGUUCUUUUCUCUUCCUACCACUUUUGUUCUUCUUGCUUGAAACAUCAACUUCUUGUCCUGCUGCAAGUUGUCGUUUGGCUAGAUUCCAUAUUCUUGUAACUGUUCGCAGGUGAACAUUCAGCAUUGUCGCAAUGAGCACCUUGUCAUACACGUGAACUUGUCCAUCUCUAAGCUCGAUUACUUGCAGAGCAAAGUAAACACCAUGUCUCUCCUUGUCUGUCAAGUCCUUGCCUCUUGGAUUGCCAUGUGCAUCAGCUUCUUCCAAUUCUACAUCUUCUUGUGCCUCUUGAGCUUCUUCCAAUUCUGCAUCUCCUUGUGCCUCUUGAGCUUCUUCCAAUUCUGCAUCUCCUUGUGCCUCUUGAGCUUCUUCCAAUUCUGCAUCUCCUUGUGCCUCUUCAGCUUCUUCCUCUUCAGGAAACCAAUUCAAUUCAAUGUCUUCAUCCUCAUCUUCCGGCAUCAAGUUCAAAUCAAUAGCAUCACCCUGUUGAGCUUGUUCUUCUUGUUGAGCUUCAUCCUCAUCUUCCGGCAUCAAGUUCAAAUCAAUAGCAUCACCCUGCUGAGCUUGUUCUUCUUCUUGAGCUUCGUCCUCCUCUUCCGGCAUCAAAUUCAAAUCCAUAGUUGUGUGCUCCUAUCUGAUCUCAUAACAAGAGUAUACAAAAGAUGAAUGGUGAGCAUAUAAUCAUAACAAGAAAACCAUGAAGAAUCCUAGACAAAAAGCAAAGAAACCAAGAAAGAGAAAAGUAGAUAUUAAAAGUACUCCUUGUUCAUAAGCAACUACAGGUCCUACUACAUCUCUCUUUUUUGCAGGGACCAGGGCGGGAAUUAAAAAGCAAACAAAAGCAGGGGCCAUGAGUACAUCUCAACUUUUACUGUAUUUCUUGUUGACAACUAGUGCAGAGGGAGGGAGUACAGAGCAAGCAAGCAAGGCACUGGAGAUGAACAAAUUACAGAACCCUGUACUUGUUCUCACCAGCAGCAGCACGAGUAGGGGACCUCAAGCGGCAGCACAUGAGAAGGGGAUCUCCGGGCAGCAGCACGAGCAGGGGAGGAGCAGCAAGUUGCGGAGAAGCAGCAGAAGGGGCUCCAGCUUGAGGUCCAGGAUUGCAAAAGAGCUUGAGGAUGAGCUUGAGGGAGCUCGUGGUCCAGGCGCGGCGGGAGCUCGUGGUCCAGGCGCUCGAGACCCAGGCGCGCGCGGGUCCUGGCCGGCGGCGGCGCAGGCCCUGCGAGGAAGGAGGGGAUAUCGUCGUCGCAGGUCCUGGGCGGCGGAGGAGCACGUCUUGUGCGGUGACGGAGCAAGUAGGG
Molecule: non-coding RNA, 3533 nt
Organism: Triticum urartu
Lineage: Eukaryota; Viridiplantae; Streptophyta; Magnoliopsida; Poales; Poaceae
Source: RefSeq, a predicted model, not a curated record